CCUACGGGAGGCAGCAGUGGGGAAUAUUGCACAAUGGGGGAAACCCUGAUGCAGCGACGCCGCGUGAGGGAAGAAGUAAUUCGUUACGAAAAGCCCUAUCAGCAGGGAAGAAAAUGACGGUACCCGAGUACGAAUCCCCGUCUAACUACGUGCCAGAAGCCGCGGUAAUACGUAGGGGGCAAGCGUUAUCCGGAUUUACUGGGGGUAAAGGGGGCGUAGGCGGGUCGCCAAGUCUGGAGUGAAAUGCCGCAGGUUACCUGCGGAACUGCUUUGGAAACUGGCAAACUCGAGUGCGGGAGGGGUAAGCGGAAUUCCUGGUGUAGCGGUGAAAUGCGUAGAUAUUAGGAGGAACACCGGUGGCGAAGGCGGCUUACUGGACCGUAACUGACGCUGAGGCACGAAAGCGUGGGGAGCAAACAGGAUUAGAUACCCUGGUAGUC
RNAcentral lists this ribosomal RNA (440 nucleotides) under uncultured bacterium. RNAcentral's name for it is "partial 16S ribosomal RNA". It matches the Rfam family "Bacterial small subunit ribosomal RNA", at positions 338 to 795 of the family's 1533-position model. The record is from RNAcentral.